Long non-coding RNA from Sciurus carolinensis (gray squirrel), 1502 nucleotides. RefSeq lists it as uncharacterized. The record is from RefSeq and is a predicted model, not a curated record. NCBI's taxonomy places the organism in Eukaryota, Metazoa, Chordata, Mammalia, Rodentia, Sciuridae. The transcript is spliced from 4 exons.
GCAGCCUCACCCAUGGACGGCUCUGUCGCGGGGGCUCGCGGUGGCACUGGGGGCUGGAGGAAUCUGUGAGGUAGCUGCGCCAGGCACAGGGGGCAAGUCCUGGGACCCAACGCGGAGGCGGGCAGAGUGGAGGUCACUGGAGGCUAGGAAGGAGUGAGGGUGGGCGGCCACCAGACAUUGCUUUCCAAAGCAUCAUGAGGAGUCUGGCCCUGCUGGACCCCGAGGCGUGCUACACUGGCCUGCUCCCCAGCUGCGGGUGUGCUGGGCAAGAUAUAAAUGUUCAUGUCACAGCAGCUUCCGCCAUGAAUACCUCCCUGCCACAUGCAAUCCAGCUGGACACUGUGCAGCAACGGCGUGGCCUCUUUCUCCAGUUCCUGUAUUUGAUUGAAUCAAUUGUCAUGUUUGGCAAUUUAGAAUAGUAUUUCAUGUGACUUUUUUUAAGAAUCUGUUGGUACAAUCAAGACUUUUUUCUCUACUUAAUUGCUAUGUAGUGGGUCAUGUUGCUACCCUUUCCCUUCUGGGCUAGAAUAUAUGAAUGUGGAGAAUGGAAACCAACAUUUCAGCUAAUUUGCCAAUUAGAAAUAAUGCACGUCUGAUUUCCAGUGUUCUUGAAUAUGCAGUGUGGGUAGAAGGCAGAUGGUGGAAGACAAGGCCUCCUGUUGGAUGCAGGUUUAAGGUUCAGCACUGUGUUAUCGGAAAAUCAAUGUGGCAGUUUGCUGUUCAUUCCAAGCCUUUUCCCCUGAAGAGUACUGACCUGAAUUUAGGGAACAUCCCUAAACUUGUUGAAAAUAAACAGAAACAUCGAAUAAAGUGCUCAGUAAACAUUAGGAUGCUCACAGCUUUGAUCUCUCAUCAUUUAAUAAAAGUAAGGACACCGAAAAUUUUCUUUAAGAUCAAAUGACUGCAAGAUCAUCUAAGAGAUCAAGAACUGGAGAAGAUUCAUCCUGGGAGGAAGUGUUCAUGGCUUCUUUUUCUCCCUGACUUACAAAUUUAGCUAUUUUAAUUUUGUAUGGCAUAUAGCACUUAACUGCUUAUGUUCAAACCAAUGCUGAUAACAUUUCAGUUGUUGUCAAGUUCAUUGUGCUUUGAUUCAAAAAUGUUAAAAUCAUGUAAAAUCGGAGUUGCCCCCAAACAUAUAUUUUUUUUCUAAGAUAACUCGUGUAAAUUGGAUGUGCUACCCCUUUCUUCAGAGUUUAUUGGUCAUUGCAUUAAAUUAGGUUUGGCCCCUGGAUGCCCCCACGACUGAGUCCUGGGUCACACACUGCAAAGCUGGUGAGGGCUGAGCCCAGCGCGGAGGACCCUGCAACAGGCAGCGACCCAGGGCAGCGGCUCUGCCAACCGCAGAGUCCGGCCUCGGCCCCUCGCACCCUGUGAGGCUGUUUCAGGCGUCCUGGGCUCCGGUCCACAAGAACUGCCCUACCUCUCUGUGAGCCCACCUUCUCCGAAGCUUCUCCAAUCCUGGGGGCUACCAGGCCAGUGAGUCCUUCUUCUUCCUUUUAUUC